This 574-nucleotide ribosomal RNA is filed under the name Alteromonas macleodii. RNAcentral describes it as "bacterial SSU rRNA". It matches the Rfam family "Bacterial small subunit ribosomal RNA", at positions 88 to 664 of the family's 1533-position model. Lineage: Bacteria; Pseudomonadati; Pseudomonadota; Gammaproteobacteria; Alteromonadales; Alteromonadaceae. The record is from RNAcentral.
AUGACGAGUGGCGGACGGGUGAGUAAUGCUUGGGAACUUGCCUUUGCGAGGGGGAUAACAGUUGGAAACGACUGCUAAUACCGCAUAAUGUCUUCGGACCAAACGGGGCUUCGGCUCCGGCGCAAAGAGAGGCCCAAGUGAGAUUAGCUAGUUGGUAAGGUAACGGCUUACCAAGGCGACGAUCUCUAGCUGUUCUGAGAGGAAGAUCAGCCACACUGGGACUGAGACACGGCCCAGACUCCUACGGGAGGCAGCAGUGGGGAAUAUUGCACAAUGGGGGAAACCCUGAUGCAGCCAUGCCGCGUGUGUGAAGAAGGCCUUCGGGUUGUAAAGCACUUUCAGUUGUGAGGAAAAGUUAGUAGUUAAUACCUGCUAGCCGUGACGUUAACAACAGAAGAAGCACCGGCUAACUCCGUGCCAGCAGCCGCGGUAAUACGGAGGGUGCGAGCGUUAAUCGGAAUUACUGGGCGUAAAGCGCACGCAGGCGGUUUGUUAAGCUAGAUGUGAAAGCCCCGGGCUCAACCUGGGAUGGUCAUUUAGAACUGGCAGACUAGAGUCUUGGAGAGGGGGAGUG